CCUCUUCAUCCCUCCCCCUGCACCCGCAUUUAACUGUCCUCUCCUCUGCCGCUCCACCCACCCACCUCCCUCUGCCUCUUCCGCUUCUUCCAUUUCUAAACCCCCAAAUUAUCUUCCUUCUAUAAAUUCUCUACACCCAAAAUUUGUACGCACCGUUUUGUUUUGGGCAGGCCGGGAGAUUUAGGGAUUUGGCCUCACUCUUUGGCGUGUUUGGGAUUAGAGCGGAUCAUACGAUAUUGGACCCUGAGAUCUUGAUUUCUCUUGUUUUUUGAGUGAUUUUGAGAUCCUUGGCGUUGGAGUUUUGGUUGGUGAUUAGCGGACGGAGAGGUUUGAAGAGUUUGGGGAGUGGGUGUAUGGAAUGCUGCAUAAUGUGAUGGCUUGGCGUAUUUAUGUUGUGCACACUUAAACCAUUUUCUAGAGCUUUAUUGUCACCAGAAGUAUCAUUUUCGGAAAGCUCUCCUUAUUGUAGGUACUUUCUCUUAGCUUUAUGAAAUUUUAAGUUGAUUGUACAAAAUAGAAAUAGUAACUUAUCUUUUCACUAAGCAAGUGGUGCUUUGACACACUCACCUGCUAAAAUCACGCCUUAAAAAGAUUGGAUCUUUCAUUAUACCAUGGUGUACCACUUUUGCCUAUGAUAGCUAGCUGUUAGUUAUUAUGAAGUCUUAUAUAAUAUAUUGAAGAAACUACAUGAGUUUAAAUAUUUGAAGGCCAAGUAAAUAUUAACAAUUAAUCUAAAAUUUCUAAGGCAACAACAGAGAAAAGCAGACAAAAACCUCUACCAACCUCAUUCAUUAGACACAAGAAAACAAUAUAACAGAGGAGAAAAUGAUGUAACACAAGCAACAAGUUCAUCUCAUGUAAAAAGACACAGAACCACUCCACACUUCAUAUACACUAUCACCAGUUCAGAUUAACCAAUUGAAGGAUUUAGAUUGAUUAGUCUUAUUUGAUUUGAUUUCCUUUAUCAUCUGAAUUCAAUAUGUGAAUUGGUUGAUUUGAUAUUACUUGAGGGUUUUUCUUUCUUCUACAACAUUCAUUGUUUUUAAUUAGGAAUCAAAAGAAAUUUGCUAAAUUUAAUACAUUAUACGAUGAGCCAUAUCUGUAGGUAUGAUCUGGUUUAUCUCAUUCAGAUAUUUUAGUUUUUUAGAAUUCUAUGUAUGCAUAUUUCUAAUUUUUGCUUGAGAGGUUGGUACAAACUGCGAAGGAGGAUAAUGAAAGGUUCUUGCUAAAGCUCAAGAGUUGAAUGGAGCGGUAAAUAUUAAAUUUUGAAUUAAGUUUUGUUUGUUUUUUGGUUUGUUUGAUUAAUUGGGUAAUUUUUUGGUGUUUUUGGGCUUGGUAUUGAUAAUCCAACGAUAUAUUGAGGUCCGAUUUGAGCAUUUGAGCAUUGAUGCAAAGGCAGUUGUGGGGAAUCGAGGACAAACCUGAACAACAUCGAAGACAACACCAAAGGUUGAAGUAAAUGGAAAGGAGACUACUACUCUUUAUAAGUUCUUGAAAUCAAAGAAAGGAGGUUUUUUGGUGAUGACAUCAAGUGGAAUUUCACUAAGUUCUUUGUGGACAAAGAUGGAAAAGUCAUGAAAAGAUAUACAUUGACAACCUCACCUUUAAAAAUGGAGGAAUUUAAGUGCCUUCUUUGAGGGACUAUAUUGUCGGUAAUGCGAGUAUGUGAUCUUAUGUAUGCAUAAAGGGAUGCUUCUUCUAGAAAACUUGUAUAUUGCUGGAAAUUCAUUAACUUCUUGUUGUAUAUAAGAAAUAUUAUUUAUUUUUAAUUAUUGGAUUUCAACAAUAAAGUUAUGUUUGCAAGCUAUCAUGUUGACUCU
Long non-coding RNA from Asparagus officinalis (garden asparagus), 1820 nucleotides. RefSeq lists it as uncharacterized. The record is from RefSeq and is a predicted model, not a curated record. The transcript has 5 exons. NCBI's taxonomy places the organism in Eukaryota, Viridiplantae, Streptophyta, Magnoliopsida, Asparagales, Asparagaceae.